This 72-nucleotide transfer RNA is filed under the name Patescibacteria group bacterium. Its description in RNAcentral is "tRNA-Thr". It matches the Rfam family "tRNA". From Rfam's summary of the family: Transfer RNA (tRNA) molecules are approximately 80 nucleotides in length. The record is from RNAcentral.
GCCGAGGUAGCUCAAUGGCAGAGCAAAGGUUUUGUAAACCUUAGGUUGGGGGUUCGACUCCUCUCCUCGGCU